This 969-nucleotide ribosomal RNA is filed under the name uncultured bacterium. RNAcentral's name for it is "bacterial SSU rRNA". It matches the Rfam family "Bacterial small subunit ribosomal RNA", at positions 535 to 1501 of the family's 1533-position model. The record is from RNAcentral.
GGGGAGGAUGUCGGAUUAUUGGGCGUAAGCGCGCGCAGGCGGUCCUUUAAGUCUGAUGUGAAAGCCCACGGCUCAACCGUGGAGGGUCAUUGGAAACUGGGGGGCUUGAGUGCAGAAGAGGAAAGUGGAAUUCCACGUGUAGCGGUGAAAUGCGUAGAGAUGUGGAGGAACACCAGUGGCGAAGGCGACUUUCUGGUCUGUAACUGACGCUGAGGCGCGAAAGCGUGGGGAGCAAACAGGAUUAGAUACCCUGGUAGUCCACGCCGUAAACGAUGAGUGCUAAGUGUUAGAGGGUUUCCGCCCUUUAGUGCUGCAGCUAACGCAUUAAGCACUCCGCCUGGGGAGUACGGCCGCAAGGCUGAAACUCAAAGGAAUUGACGGGGGCCCGCACAAGCGGUGGAGCAUGUGGUUUAAUUCGAAGCAACGCGAAGAACCUUACCAGGUCUUGACAUCCUCUGACAAUCCUAGAGAUAGGACGUUCCCCUUCGGGGGACAGAGUGACAGGUGGUGCAUGGUUGUCGUCAGCUCGUGUCGUGAGAUGUUGGGUUAAGUCCCGCAACGAGCGCAACCCUUGAUCUUAGUUGCCAGCAUUCAGUUGGGCACUCUAAGGUGACUGCCGGUGACAAACCGGAGGAAGGUGGGGAUGACGUCAAAUCAUCAUGCCCCUUAUGACCUGGGCUACACACGUGCUACAAUGGAUGGUACAAAGGGCUGCAAAACCGAGAGGUUAAGCCAAUCCCAUAGAACCAUUCUCAGUUCGGAUUGUAGGCUGCAACUCGCCUACAUGAAGCCGGAAUCGCUAGUAAUCGCGGAUCAGCAACGCCGCGGUGAAUACGUUCCCGGGUCUUGUACACACCGCCCGUCACACCACGAAAGUCGGUAAUACCCGAAGCCGGUGGCCUAACCUCUUGAGGAGGGAGCCGUCGAAGGUAGGAUCGAUGAUUGGGGUGAAGUCGUAACAAGGUAACC